GCUUCGAAACCUCGGCACGUCUCGUAGCAUCACUACUGAGGAGAGAGACUCGCACAGCGGGCCUUGACCUAACCAAGGCAAACUGGACCCUGCGUGUUGUCACUGACAAGAGCAAAACCGAGGGCAUCGAGGUGAAGAAAGACACGGAGAGAAUGGACCAGAUUAAAGCCAUUAAAAAGUCCUGGGAAACGGCUGAGCCAGGACGCGCUGCCAAGGCUUUAGAGUGUCGUCUCAAGUUUCUCAACCGAGUCCAGCAUAAAGCCACUGAUGGAGCUGCUGCCGACGAAAGCAAAGAACCGGGUGUUCUGCAGAUCCAGAUACCUCUCUGUCCAUCUGAUCAGAAACUGAGUGACACCACCAGCUCCUGUCCUCACAUGGACUUCAGUCACCUCAUCAGACGCCAGAAGGAUUUGCCAGUGCUGAUGGACUCACAGAGGGAGCGCUUAGAAGAGAUCCAGGCCUACCGGCUGCUGCAAGGCAAUGUGCUGGAGCAACGUAAACAGCAAGCACUGAAGAGGAAGGAGCUAAUAAGACUUCAGAAGGAGAUGUAUGAGAACAUCAAGCACCGGGAUCAGAAAUUACUUGAUUCUUACAAAGCAUUUUGUAGCAGUCACAUGGUGGCCAUGAAAAAGGAAGAAGAGAAAGAAGCUCAGGAGGAGGCCGGAGCAGCAGAUUAGUAGGCUUUAAUGUGUGUUAAAGUGCAAUUUAUCUGCAGUUUAGUUUAGUGCUUAGAAUGGAUUGUGAUUUUAUGAUAUGCAUUGUGGACAAUAAAUAUUAACAUUUAUACA
Long non-coding RNA from Amphiprion ocellaris (clown anemonefish), 788 nucleotides. NCBI's taxonomy places the organism in Eukaryota, Metazoa, Chordata, Actinopteri, Pomacentridae. The record is from Ensembl.